CGGGGUGAGUAACGCGUGGGUAACCUGCCUUAUACAGGGGGAUAACAGUCAGAAAUGACUGCUAAUACCGCAUAAGCGCACAGAGCUGCAUGGCUCGGUGUGAAAAACUCCGGUGGUAUAAGAUGGACCCGCGUUGGAUUAGCUAGUUGGUGAGGUAACGGCCCACCAAGGCGACGAUCCAUAGCCGGCCUGAGAGGGUGAACGGCCACAUUGGGACUGAGACACGGCCCAG
Molecule: ribosomal RNA, 232 nt
Filed under: uncultured bacterium
Lineage: Bacteria
Description: partial 16S ribosomal RNA
Rfam family: Bacterial small subunit ribosomal RNA
Source: RNAcentral